GGGUUUUGUGGAGGAAAAAAAAAAAUGAAGAGUAAAAAAUGGGAACAAAUAAGAAAAAGAAAGAAGAGAAAAAAUGAAGAUAGAUUUUUCGGAGCGAAAAAAGCAAAGGCGCGGGGGAUUGUGGCCUAAAAUUGCUGUCGUGACUGUUUCAAAAUCAAGCAGGUUCCUUUCCAACUCUUCCAUACGCGGUUUCCUACCUGUCCAUUUUU
RNAcentral lists this unclassified non-coding RNA (209 nucleotides) under Hevea brasiliensis (rubber tree). The record is from RNAcentral. Lineage: Eukaryota; Viridiplantae; Streptophyta; Magnoliopsida; Malpighiales; Euphorbiaceae.